Apis cerana (Asiatic honeybee) is the source of this 6198-nucleotide long non-coding RNA. RefSeq lists it as uncharacterized. The record is from RefSeq and is a predicted model, not a curated record. NCBI's taxonomy places the organism in Eukaryota, Metazoa, Arthropoda, Insecta, Hymenoptera, Apidae.
AAUUAUUUAUUUUAAAAGUUAAAUAAAAUGAAUACUUUUUUUAUUUUUAAAUAAAUUUGUUAUAUAUUUUAAUAUAAAUAAAAAUUCAUUAUAAUAUUUUAAUGUUAAGCUUAAGGAUAAAGAGGACAAUGAUCUUAACAACAAAAUUAAAUAAUUACUUCUUUAUAUACCAGAUGACGCCACAUUUCUGUUAUGUUAGUUUUCUAUUAAAUUAAAUCGAUUAAACAAAAAAUAAUAAAGAAUUAAAAUUUAAAAAUUUAAAAAAAUUAACUUUUCAAAUCUAGUAAAGGUGAUAUGAAUAAGAAAUAAUAAAUAUAAAUUAGGCAAGGAAUGAAAAAGAAAAUUUGAUAGAAGAAAUAUAAAGUGCAGUAAAUGAAAUGUGUUAUUCAAGUUAUUUUAAAUCUGUCACAUACACAAAUACAAAUAUUUCUCAUAAUAUUGUUCGUGAAUAAUUUGUUUAGUCAUAUGCCAUUACGAUAAAUACAGGAUGUGAAAAGAGAAAUAAAGCGAAAAAUGGAUAAAGAGAAAAGUUAAUGAAAAAAAAAAUCUAAUAUGUAUUAAGUGAAUAGUGAGCUAUGGAUUAAUGUGAAUUUUUACUUGACCUAACCCCAUAUUUAUAUGAACAUCAGUUUCUGAUUCUGUUUGCUAUUUCGUUUAAAUUUCAUCGCGUAACACUGUAUUGGGAAUCUAAGAAUGCAUCAACUGUAACAACGCAUCAUCGAUUUCCUGUCAAACGAAUUUUUCAUUCUUGCUUCACGCGAUGUGCUACUGAUAGCUUCUUUUUUCUGUUCGAAAUAUUUGUAUUAAUCUUUCUUCAAUAUUGUUUUCAUAACUUAAAGAUAUACUUUAUUUAUAUUUAUAUAUUUUAUAAACAAAUAUCGCAAAAUAAUUUUAAUGAAGAUGUCAUGUUAAAUCAUUACAAAUUAGAGUUAACAGCAGACAUUUUGAAAAAUGUCGUGAUUUUAAUUCUCUCAAUUUCAAUUGGAUCAAAUGUAAGUUUCAGAAUUUUAUUGCUUUACACUCAAGAAAACUGUACCACUUGCACAAUUAAGAUUAAUAAUUUGAUCAAUGAAAAUCUUCCUAUGUUACAUCGGCUUCAAACUUUAUAAUGAAACUUUUCGUUUAAAUGAACUUCGGCACAUAGUAAUCAUCUUAUCUCACUAACAAAGGUUCCCUAUAACUUUCGUUCGACACUAUCUAAUAUCGACGCAAAUAAAGUUAGCGAUUUCAAUCAGGAUCAUUUCAUGGAACGUUUGUAAGGAGCUUCCCCACUCUUUGUGGAUAAAGACAAUUAUAAUCGCGAGAAGAAAAAGGUAAGGGUGGCGCCGUAGUGUCGCGAGUGUAUCGAUCACAAAGAAUCGCCUAGGUACCUGUGAUUCAGAACAGCGGCCUGCCUCCCUCGGCUUGUAAGUGCUUGUACGUGGCCGGCCCUUUCUCUAGUUCGAGCAUGAGGAGCCUCAUGAAACAUGGAUCGAGAGUCGCCCUGGAAGGAGCUGCGGGAAAGAAGCCGACCGCCUGCCGUGCGGUUGCCGAUCAUCGCGAUAGUGAUGGGAUUAAUACUCUCACGUAUCGUAUCGAAAAUCCGGUCAAACAAACUACAUGUUACCGUUGAAAUCAUAAGUAAGAUGAAACCAGGAAGUUAAAAAGAAAAUUAUGAAGAUAUAGACGUAUGAGUUGAAGGUAUGUUCAGAAAUAGGAAAUAUAUCAGUAUAAGAGUAUGGAAAUUGAGAAAAGAAAUUUCAGAAAUUGAAGAGCAUAUGAAUUUAGAUACAGAUGUACAAGGAUGCAUAGAAAAUUUUUGAAAUAUGAAAGAAUGGAAAUUUUGGAAUUUUAACAACGAAGACUUAGAAAUUACUGCUUGUCUGAACCUCGUGUCGAAUGAUUUCGCGAUCAGUCCCAUCACUAAUCACCGAUGUGACUACGCGGUUACUUUUCAAGCGGCUGUGCAAGAAGAGCUUCCUGGCGCUGUUGAUUCACGGAAAUUAGUGCCACCGCGGUGCGUGCUCUGAACAUUACUUUGUAACUCGAUAUGCAUUAUGUAAAACCGGCGACUACCGCGUCGUAAUUGUAUCGUUUUGAUAAGUAAGCUCGCACGCUUGUUUCCUCAUCUCCGAUGUUGUGAUUUCACUUUAUUUCUUGCGUUCAUCCCCUAUCUCUGCUUUCGAUUCCACGUGAAAAAAAUUCAUUUCGAUCGAUUAUUCAUUGGAAAUUUUUUCAUCAUUCUCGUUGUAAGCUAAAUCUCAUCGGUUGAUAAUUUAUAAUUUACAGUUUAAAAGAAUUUAUACUUUAUUGAUACCAUAAAAAUGAUCUCGUAGAAUAGAAAAUCCUUUUAGGAUUUCCUAUUUCCCUUCCUUGUAGAAUAAUGAUUAAAUUGUAACAGAAUCGAUCAACCAUGACAUUACAAUUAUUUUAUAAUGGAUGGUUGAAUUUAGAGUUGAAUUAGAGAUCGAAUAGUACGAAAGGUUUAACGCAAUACAUAACGAAAACUACGGCAUAAUAAUCGUGUCUGUAUUUAGUGCGUUCUAGUAUCAGGAAAUUCACUUACGAACACAUGUGAUUGGAGAUUAGCGUAAUCAUACCGUGAUUAUUUCACCGGAUUAACUCUUCUGCCGAAUAGUUGGCCAGUUACUGUAUACGAAUCUGUGAGAUGUAUUUAAAAUGUAUUUGUAAAACUAUAUAAAUACAAACAUUAUUAGGAGAUUGAAGUCAAGAAUUUAAACUUUUGAAAUUUAAUCGAGGAAAGAAGUUUAAUCGUUUUAAAAUGAUUAAAUAUUUCUUUAUUAAAUUAUUUAAAAUAUUAUUACGUUCUGUUAUUCUAUAAAUUUUAACAAAUAUUUCGAGGAGAGAAAGACGGAGAUGGGAAAACAAAGAGGUAUGAAGAUUCUACGUGAAUCAGAAGAAAAUAUUUGUCACGGAUGAUAUAUGUUGGUUGAUAUGGUUGAUGAUCGAAAUCGGAGAGACAGGUCGCAGAUUAAAAGGGCAAAUAGAAAAGGCACAGCCUCUCUGCUUGAUUGCACGGCUCGUGGAGAGAUAUUUGUCUUGGAGAUGAAAUAUGUGCGAUGCAAUUAGACCGGAACGUCUGUAGGAACUAGCUGUAUGAAGAAGCAAACGGAUGUCUUAAGAAAUUCAUCUAAUCGAAAUAGAUAAAUCGUAUUUAAAAUGUGAAAAGAAUAUGAAAAUUGAUAAAAUACGUUUUACAAAGUGACAUAAUCGUAAUUAUAUAAUCAAAAGAAUUUCCAAUUUUAUGUAAUAUUUUCACAUGAAUAUUAUACAAAUUCUAUUAAGAAAUUGAACGAUCAAGAUCUUAAUGGUUCCUCAAAUUUGGCCAUGGAAACUUUAACCCAUCAUUCACGGCUCCUUAAACCUUCGCCCUCGGCCGCGUUAAUUCUCAAGUAUUAUCAAUUCAAGAGCAGCUUCAGAGGCACUCGACGCGUCAUCAAUAAACGAUCACCCCUGUUUGGAUCUAUCUAUCUCGUCCUAGGAUCCUUGUCUUGUCGAUCGUUCGCGUGGAUCUCAUCGAUCAUCUUCGUCGUGCGGCGGCGAACGUUCGACGAAACCUGAAAAAAGGAGAAUACACACGUGGUGUCUCUGACCACGUAGAAAAAGGAGAGGAAAGGAAGAAAUUGAUCCUGCCUGUUGAAUCCUCGUUACAAAAUACUCGAUACUCAGAGGAGGUCGGCUUUCGUUCGAAACGGCUCUAUCUUCAUGCGAAACCAUGGGAGAGGCAGGUGGCUCUGCGGCCAUAAAUGGGUGAUGGACGACGUAACGAUCUCUUCACUCUCUCGUAUGGACGUCACAAUUAGCCAUCUACGUAGACACGGCUACGAACCAACAAACGGACCGAACAAACUGUCCUGUCUAUCUGUUUGUCUAUCGGAUCUGCCGCUUGCGCGGCCAGCAGGAAUUGCGUUCGUUCAAUUAACGAUAGACUCGAUUAACUGUAUUCCCUCCGGUGGUGAGCUGGUGCGAAUAUAAAUUAGCGACUUCGAUCGAUUGUUUUGCCGUAGCUCCGGGAGAGAUUGAGAAAGCAGGUGGCGACCGAUCGCACGCAUCCGGACUUUGAAUCGCCGAUUUGGAGUAGUCAGAUUUAGGGAAGAUUCUUGUAAAGAUGAGAAUAAUGGAAGAGUAAUUUCAUUUGUUUUAUAAAUUAUAGGAAAUUGUUGGAAAGGAAGCGAUGUAAUAAAAGUUUAUUGAAUCUUCUCACUUGUAUGAAGUGGAUUAGAAUGAGAGUUGUGAUGUAAUUGAUUAAAAUCUCAUUUUAAUAGAAUUCUGUAUUUCAAGGAAUAUUCAUUUGUCUCUGUUCGAUAGUCUUUUAAUUCUUUAUGUGUUUAGUAGACAUUUUUAAGUUUGAAGGAAAAGAAAGUUUUUCAGUGAGUUUUCAGUCAAGAUUGUAAAGUGAAGUUUUCUUCGCUGUAAAUUCUACAAUUUUAUUAGUUUUAUUCAGUGAAAAAUACCCAACUUGACGCCAUGGUCAAGAACCUAAUUAUCUGAUUCUGAAAGAAGCUUCACCUCGAAAUUGAAGUUUCUAAACUACUACGUGUUAACAUUAUCAACAAACUUGGUCACACUACAGGCGAAACUUUUCUAUUUUCAUUAAAUUGCUCUUUGAUUUGCCGUGAUCUUGCAGAAAUCUUGUUGCCACGAAAAUUAGACUAAACUUAACUAAACUUAGCUAAAGAAGAAAAAUUAUCGUUCAAAUCCGACUUUUUGGCGGAUCGAAGAAUUGAAAUUGUGCUAGAGCGUUUAUAAUUGAAUGAUAAAAAUAAAAAAAAAAAAAAAAUAGAGAAAGAGCAUAAAAAAAUAGAAAAUGAAAGAGAAUAAAAUGUAUUCACUUUUGACGAACUGAAAUUUCGAGCAACGCCACGUGCUUUUGGUUCUGCACUUUUGACAUUUCACGAGCUUUUCACCAACAGACAGCGAUUUUCAAUGGGAUUGUCCUACGGAAAGAGAAACUUCAAAGGGAAUGGUAUUCGCAAAUUGAGCGGAGUCAGUCGGAAUACCUUUUUGUAGUUUCGUAAAUGCAAAAUUCGACACACGGCCAACAAUGGGUGGACGGGAAAGAGAAUGGGGAAGAAAAAAAAAGCAAGCAAAAUCAAGAUUGUGCAGUUACAAUACGCUAUAACGUUGUCAUUGAGAAUUACUUAUUAUUAUUUCUUUCCCUUCCUUAAGAAAUAUUAAUGAAAGAUAAAAUAUGGAAUAAGGGAAUUGAGGAACAGUUUCAAAAUUACGCAACGAUCCAAACAAAAAGGGAAAGAGAAAUGUAGGAAUUUCCUAGAAGAACCUCCAUCACAAUCGAAUUUCCUUUGCAUCAAUAUUCGAAGGACUGUCUUCUUCGAGAGAAUUGCUCCAAUAAAAUCCACGCGUAUUCGUAAAAGUCGCUUCCUUUCUUUGAGCUUUUCGCGUGGAAAGCGUAGAGUUCCAUCUGCUCGAUGGCGAAUAAAAAUGAAAGGAUUGUUCUUCGAUGCUGUUUGAUCGUUGCUGAGUCUCACGCGCAUUUCUUUGCUCGUCAUCGAGUCUCUAUAGUAACGUGCGUGCGCCUCUAGUUGCCCAGAUUCGUCGAAGAAAACACAAAUAGACUUGUCCAUGGCACGCUUUUGUUCGUGUCUCGUGUGCACAAGUAAUCAUUGAUUCGUUUUUCUUGUUGGCCCUGUUACACACUUUUUCCGGAUCGACACGAAACCCACGAUAGUAUCAAAGCUUAAUCGAAAGUGCGUCCCUAUGUUCGUUCACCGAUUCAGCCGCAGUUCUUGUUUCUUUUUUUUUUUUUUUCGAUGAACAAGGAACAAGGCAUGAGCAAGUUUUUCACGCCAUUUCGAAGAACAGUGCUGUAGAUUGUAACUCAGAGAUUGAAUUAUUUACAGACCCGAUCGGUUUGCUCCUGCCACCCGGAGAGUGUUUGAUUCUAUUUGUUAAAGUGAAGUCAGUAACGUUGGUAUUGAAACAUUAAAUUUAUAAUAAUAACUGUAAUAAUUUUAAGCUUGACAGAGAGAGAUGCUAAAUGAAAUUAUUGUUAAAAAUUGGUGAUGUUUGAAAAAUUUUUGUGAUUUCAUUAGGAAUUAUUAUUAAAUUCUAAUUACUGGUCAAAUAAUGAUAGAUGGAAAUUGUUAAGGAAUAUGAAUAUAAUGGAACAUGGAUGUAAAUGACAUUGAUAAUUGUUUAUUAUUUUUAUUAAAAUACACGUAUAAUAUAAUCAUAAAA